UUUCCGUAGGUGAACCUGCGGAAGGAUCAUUAUUGGAUUUUGAAACUUCAGGCUGCUGCUGGCUCUCCUCGGAGGGCAUGUUCACGCUUGUUGUCCAUUAUUUCUCCCACUGUGCACAAAUUGUAGACCUUUCAGUAGGCCUAUGUUGUUUUUCACAAUCUCUGAAUGUAAUAGAAUGGUUUUGAAUCUUGGGAAAUACAAUACAACUUUCAGCAACGGAUCUCUUGGCUCUC
This 233-nucleotide unclassified non-coding RNA is filed under the name plant metagenome. RNAcentral's name for it is "partial contains small subunit ribosomal RNA, internal transcribed spacer 1, and 5.8S ribosomal RNA". The record is from RNAcentral.